UAGGGAAUAUUGGACAAUGGGCGCAAGCCUGAUCCAGCCAUGCCGCGUGAGUGAAGAAGGCCCUCGGGUUGUAAAGCUCUUUUGUCCGGAAAGAAAAGCUUUGGGUUAAUACCCCGAAGUCCUGACGGUACCAGAAGAAUAAGCACCGGCUAACUUCGUGCCAGCAGCCGCGGUAAUACGAAGGGUGCAAGCGUUACUCGGAAUUACUGGGCGUAAAGCGUGCGUAGGUGGUUCGUUAAGUCUGAUGUGAAAGCCCUGGGCUCAACCUGGGAAUGGCAUUGGAUACUGGCGGGCUAGAGUGCGGUAGAGGGCAGUGGAAUUCCCGGUGUAGCAGUGAAAUGCGUAGAGAUCGGGAGGAACAUCUGUGGCGAAGGCGACUGCCUGGACCAGCACUGACACUGAGGCACGAAAGCGUGGGGAGCAAACAGG
RNAcentral lists this ribosomal RNA (429 nucleotides) under Acidobacteriota bacterium. Its description in RNAcentral is "Acidobacteria bacterium partial 16S ribosomal RNA". It matches the Rfam family "Bacterial small subunit ribosomal RNA", at positions 355 to 776 of the family's 1533-position model. Lineage: Bacteria; Pseudomonadati; Acidobacteriota. The record is from RNAcentral.